CGUGUAGGCGGCUGGGUAAGUCAGAUGUGAAAGUCCCGGGCUCAACCCGGGAAGUGCAUUUGAUACUGCUCAGCUAGAGUAAGGGAGAGGAAAGUGGAAUUCCUGGUGUAGGGGUGAAAUUCGUAGAUAUCAGGAGGAACACCGGUGGCGAAGGCGGCUUUCUGGCCCUAUACUGACGCUGAGACGCGAAAGCGUGGGUAGCAAACAGGAUUAGAUACCCUGGUAGUCC
This 229-nucleotide ribosomal RNA is filed under the name uncultured bacterium. RNAcentral's name for it is "partial 16S ribosomal RNA". It matches the Rfam family "Bacterial small subunit ribosomal RNA", at positions 568 to 796 of the family's 1533-position model. The record is from RNAcentral.